GAUGAACGCUGGCGGCGUGCUUAACACAUGCAAGUCGAACGGGAAAUACUUCAUUGAGACUUCGGUGGAUUUGAUUUAUUUCUAGUGGCGGACGGGUGAGUAACGCGUGGGUAACCUGCCUUAUACAGGGGGAUAACAGUCAGAAAUGGCUGCUAAUACCGCAUAAGCGCACAGAGCUGCAUGGCUCAGUGUGAAAAACUCCGGUGGUAUAAGAUGGACCCGCGUUGGAUUAGCUAGUUGGUGGGGCAACGGCCCACCAAGGCGACGAUCCAUAGCCGGCCUGAGAGGGUGAACGGCCACAUUGGGACUGAGACACGGCCCAGACUCCUACGGGAGGCAGCAGUGGGGAAUAUUGCACAAUGGGGGAAACCCUGAUGCAGCGACGCCGCGUGAAGGAAGAAGUAUCUCGGUAUGUAAACUUCUAUCAACAGGGAAGAUAG
RNAcentral lists this ribosomal RNA (440 nucleotides) under uncultured bacterium. RNAcentral's name for it is "bacterial SSU rRNA". It matches the Rfam family "Bacterial small subunit ribosomal RNA", at positions 28 to 451 of the family's 1533-position model. The record is from RNAcentral.